RNAcentral lists this long non-coding RNA (642 nucleotides) under Vigna radiata. RNAcentral describes it as "long non-coding RNA (VRAD_LNC008689)". The record is from RNAcentral. Lineage: Eukaryota; Viridiplantae; Streptophyta; Magnoliopsida; Fabales; Fabaceae.
GUGUGAGAAAGCAUGUGUGUGAGAUUUUGAGCUCCAAAAUUUUUAUUGUUGUAUGUAUUGUUCACAGGAAAACAUGAAUGAUAUUACCUUAAUCUUGAUGAUUGAUUGAAUUGCAUGUGAAUGUCAUAUGAUCAAGGCCAUUUUUGAAAACCCUUCUCUAGCCAAAUUUUCACCCAAAGUUCUUGAAAAUAUUUUACCCUUUUUGACCCUCAGCCUUAAACAGUAUGUGAACCCUUGUCUUGUAAAUCUUUACCUUGAGUUGGGAUGAGCUUAAUUAUAUGUGAUGAAAAGGUUCAAGUUUGGGGUUGUACGAGGGAAAAUUGAAAAAGCAAGCAAAAGGCAUUGAGCUCAAUUGUUGUGUAAAGAGAAAAAUUUCAUGAGAAAAAGAAAAGAAAAAAAGCAUGAAGAUGAGCUCAAUGAAAAAGAAAAGAAAAGGGAAGAAGUGGGGAAUGAGAGUCAUUGGUGAGAGAGUUGUGCUUAAAUGUUAAAUAUUUUGUUAGCUCUCUUGACUCAAGGAUUUUGCAUUCUAGAAAAACCAAUUUUUCUUGUUAACCCAACCUCAUUACAAGCCUUGAAAAAGUCUUUUUGAUGCCAUUUGCAUGUAAAGAUGUUGAUUGUUUGAGAUGAAUGGCAAUUUUGUUU